UGUGCUAAAGGGUGUCAGAGACAAUCUGAGAGGUAAAUGCUACGCUAUGGACUAACAGUAAGGGGAAAAGAAGAUGGUAAAUUUGCAGAGAAGAUCAAGUUUGAUCAGUUUCCUGGCCUGAAGGUAGGACAAUGACAAAGGCUCAUUUUAGGGGCUUCUGGUAUACAAAGGUGUAGGGGCACUACACAACAAGGAGGCAAUGUAGUGAGUGGCAGCAUGGGAGAACUGAGGCUGGAGAAGUUCUCAGCCCAUGCUGUUGCCCCUGUUUUGCCCCUUCCCUCCCUCUCUCCCACAGGAGCAGUUGACUGGCUGCCUCUUGCUGUGGUUCCUGUGAAAGGCGGCUUUAGUUUGGAUCUUCAGUGGGGUAAGGGGCUCUUGUUCAGAAUAGAGGCUUCCAAAUAUGCAUGAACGGAAGUAACACAAGCAAAAUGCAUCAUGGAUGGGUGUGGUGAGUAGUCAUUGAAAUGCAG
This 470-nucleotide long non-coding RNA is filed under the name Homo sapiens (human). RNAcentral's name for it is "HSALNT0201658". Lineage: Eukaryota; Metazoa; Chordata; Mammalia; Primates; Hominidae. The record is from RNAcentral.